RNAcentral lists this ribosomal RNA (240 nucleotides) under uncultured Lactobacillus sp. Its description in RNAcentral is "partial 16S ribosomal RNA". It matches the Rfam family "Bacterial small subunit ribosomal RNA", at positions 122 to 355 of the family's 1533-position model. The record is from RNAcentral. Lineage: Bacteria; Bacillati; Bacillota; Bacilli; Lactobacillales; Lactobacillaceae.
UAACCUGCCCAAGAGAUCGGGAUAACACCUGGAAACAGAUGCUAAUACCGGAUAACAACAGAUGAUGCCUAUCAACUGUUUAAAAGAUAGUUCUGCUAUCACUCUUGGAUGGACCUGCGGUGCAUUAGCUAGUUGGUAGGGUAACGGCCUACCAAGGCGAUGAUGCAUAGCCGAGUUGAGAGACUGAUCGGCCACAUUGGGACUGAGACACGGCCCAAACUCCUACGGGAGGCAGCAGCC